GGAGUCUGGGCCGUGUCUCAGUCCCAAUGUGGCCGAUCACCCUCUCAGGUCGGCUACUGAUCGUCGCUUUGGUGAGCCGUUACCUCACCAACUGGCUAAUCAGACGCGGGUCCAUCUUACAGUGAUAAAUCUUUUCACCCUGUACCAUGCGGUACUGUGUGCUUAUGCGGUAUUAGCAGUCUUUUCAGACUGUUAUCCCCCUCUGUAAGGCAGGUUGCCCACGCGUUACUCACCCGUCCGCCACUCGCUCGGGAAUCACUAGGUUUCAUCCCUCGCUCGUUCGACUUGCAUGUGUUAGGCACGCCGCCAGCGUUCAUC
This 318-nucleotide ribosomal RNA is filed under the name uncultured Coriobacteriales bacterium. RNAcentral describes it as "partial 16S ribosomal RNA". Lineage: Bacteria; Bacillati; Actinomycetota; Coriobacteriia; Coriobacteriales. The record is from RNAcentral.